RNAcentral lists this ribosomal RNA (253 nucleotides) under uncultured bacterium. RNAcentral's name for it is "partial 16S ribosomal RNA". It matches the Rfam family "Bacterial small subunit ribosomal RNA", at positions 524 to 776 of the family's 1533-position model. The record is from RNAcentral.
UACGGGGGGGGUAAGCGUUGUUCGGAAUUACUGGGCGUAAAGGGCUCGUAGGCGGCCAACUAAGUCAGACGUGAAAUCCCUCAGCUUAACUGGGGAACUGCGUCUGAUACUGGAUGGCUUGGAUUCGGGAGAGGAAUGCGGAAUUCCAGGUGUAGCGGUGAAAUGCGUAGAUAUCGGGAGGAACACCAGUGGCGAAGGCGACUACCUGGCCUGUUCUUGACGCUGAGGCGCGAAAGCUGGGGGAGCAAACGGG